CCUACGGGGGCAGCAGUGGGGAAUAUUGGACAAUGGGCGAAAGCCUGAUCCAGCCAUGCCGCGUGUGUGAAGAAGGCCUUUGGGUUGUAAAGCACUUUCAGUGGGGAAGAAAGCCUUGGGGCUAAUACCCUCGAGGAAGGACAUCACCCACAGAAGAAGCACCGGCUAACUCCGUGCCAGCAGCCGCGGUAAUACGGAGGGUGCGAGCGUUAAUCGGAAUUACUGGGCGUAAAGCGCGCGUAGGCGGUCUGAUAAGCCGGUUGUGAAAGCCCCGGGCUCAACCUGGGAACGGCAUCCGGAACUGUCAGGCUAGAGUGCAGGAGAGGAAGGUAGAAUUCCCGGUGUAGCGGUGAAAUGCGUAGAGAUCGGGAGGAAUACCAGUGGCGAAGGCGGCCUUCUGGACUGACACUGACGCUGAGGUGCGAAAGCGUGGGUAGCAAACAGGAUUAGAUACCCCAGUAGUC
Molecule: ribosomal RNA, 464 nt
Filed under: Vreelandella stevensii
Lineage: Bacteria; Pseudomonadati; Pseudomonadota; Gammaproteobacteria; Oceanospirillales; Halomonadaceae
Description: partial 16S ribosomal RNA
Rfam family: Bacterial small subunit ribosomal RNA
Source: RNAcentral